GAUGAAGAACGCAGCGAAAUGCGAUACGUAAUGUGAAUUGUAGAAUUCAGUGAAUCAUCGAGUCUUUGAACGCACAUUGCGCCCCCUGGUAUUCCGGGGGGCAUGCCUGUCCGAGCGUCAUUGCUGCCCUCAAGCACGGCUUGUGUGUUGGGCCUCCGUCCUCCUCCCGGGGGACGGGCCCGAAAGGCAGCGGCGGCACCGCGUCUGGUCCUCGAGCGUAUGGGGCUUCGUCACCCGCUCUUGUAGGCCCGGCCGGCGCUUGCCGACACAUCAAUCUUUUUUCCAGGUUGACCUCGGAUCAGGUAGGGAUACCCGCUGAACUUAAGCAUAUCAAUAAGCGGAGGA
RNAcentral lists this unclassified non-coding RNA (345 nucleotides) under soil metagenome. RNAcentral describes it as "partial contains 5.8S ribosomal RNA, internal transcribed spacer 2, and large subunit ribosomal RNA". The stretch from base 1 to 120 matches the Rfam family "5.8S ribosomal RNA", at positions 35 to 154 of the family's 154-position model. The record is from RNAcentral.